GACGAACGCUGGCGGCGUGCUUAACACAUGCAAGUCGAACGGAAAGGCCCUGCUUUUGUGUGUUGCUCGAGUGGCGAACGGGUGAGUAACACGUGAGUAUCCUGCCCUUGACUUUGGGAUAACUUCAGGGAACUGGGGCUAUUAUCGGAUAGGAGCUCCUGCUGCAUGGUGGGGGUUGGAAAGUGUCGGCUGUUGGGGAUGGAUUCGAGGGUUAUGAGCUGCUUGGUGUGGUAGUGGCUUACGAAGGCUUUGACGGGUAGCCGGCAUGGGAGGGUGGACGGCGACAUUGCGACUACGAUACGGACCAGACGCCUACGGGCGGCAGUAGUGGGGAAUAUUGCACAACGGCGGGAAGCCUGAUGUAGAAACGUCGCGUGCGGAAUGACGGCCUUCGGGUGGUAAACAGAUUUGGACUGUGCCGAAGAGUGCGUGACGGUAAUGGGUAAAGAAGCACCGGCUAACUACGUG
Molecule: ribosomal RNA, 468 nt
Filed under: uncultured bacterium
Lineage: Bacteria
Description: partial 16S ribosomal RNA
Rfam family: Bacterial small subunit ribosomal RNA
Source: RNAcentral